RNAcentral lists this ribosomal RNA (253 nucleotides) under uncultured bacterium. RNAcentral's name for it is "partial 16S ribosomal RNA". It matches the Rfam family "Bacterial small subunit ribosomal RNA", at positions 524 to 776 of the family's 1533-position model. The record is from RNAcentral.
UACGGAGGGUCCAAGCGUUAUUCGGAAUUACUGGGCGUAAAGCGAGCGUAGGCGGUUUUGUAAGUCUGAUGUGAAAGCCCUCGACUCAAUCGAGGAAGUGCAUUGGAUACUGCAAGGCUAGAAGAUAGGAGGGGAGAACGGAAUUCCUGGUGUAGAGGUGAAAUUCGUAGAUAUCAGGAGGAACAACGGUGGCGAAGGCGGUUCUCUGGACUAUAUUUGACGCUAAGGCUCGAAAGCGUGGGGAGCAAACAGG